This 1552-nucleotide ribosomal RNA is filed under the name uncultured Oribacterium sp. RNAcentral's name for it is "Bacterial small subunit ribosomal RNA". It matches the Rfam family "Bacterial small subunit ribosomal RNA". The record is from RNAcentral. Lineage: Bacteria; Bacillati; Bacillota; Clostridia; Lachnospirales; Lachnospiraceae.
GAGGAGUUCGAUCCUGAAGCUCCAGGAUGAGCACUGGCGGGCGUGCCUAGCACGCGCCAGAAGUCGAACGAGAGCUAUGAGGACGGAGGAGCCUGCUGGUGGAAGACGAUGAACUGUGAGUGGCGGACGGAGUGAGUAACGCUGUGGGCAGCCUGCUUAUACCGAUGUGAAGUUGGAGCGACUGGUGAAACCGCAUAAAGCACCUGAGUAAGGCGUCUUACAGUGUGACGCAAAGCUCGGUGGUAUGGGAUGGGCCCGCGUCUGAUUAACCAGUUGGUGAGGUGCGGCUCACCAAAGCGACGAUCAUAUAGCCGGCCUGAGGAGGGCGGACAGCCACAUUGGGACUGAGACACGGCCCAGACUCCUGGGAGCGCAGCAGUGGGGAUAUUGCUGUGGAGGAAACUCUGAUGCAGCGACGCCGCGUGGUGAAGAAGUAUUUCGGUAUGUAAAAGCUCUAUCAGCAGGGAAGAAGGCUCGCAAGAGAUGACGGUACCUGAGGUAAGAGCUCCGGCUAAAUGCGUGCUGACCAGCGGUGAUGGCGCAUGUGAGCAAAGCGUUAUCAGGUUUACUGGGUGUAAAGGGAGCGCAGACGGAUAUGCAAGUCUGAGUGAGCCCACGGCUCAGCCGUGGGCUUGCUGCGACGAAUCUGAGAUGGGUACUGGAAGUAGCGGAAUUCCUGGUGUAGCGGUGAAAAUGCAUGUAGAUAUCGGGAGAGGAACAUCGGCGGCGAAGGCGGCUUGGGCAGCGACUGACGUUGGGGGCUCGAAGGGCGUGGGGAGCAAACAGGAUUAGAUACCUGGUAGUCCACGCGGUGACGAUGAAUGCUAGGUGUUGGGAGACAAAGUUUUCAGUGCCGAGAGCAAACGUGAUAAGUAAUGUUAUUCCACCUGGGGAGUACGUUCGCAGGAGAAUGAAACUCAAAGGAAUUGACGGGGACCCCGCACAAGCGGUGGAGCAUGCGUGGUUUAAUUCAAAACAGCACGCGAAGCUGUACAGACCUUAGAUCGGACGGAUUGAGAGGUAGACUUUAAAGCCCUUCAGGGCGUCCCGAGGACGAGGUGGUGCGCAUGUUUGUCGUCAGCUCGUGUCGUGAGAUGUUGGGUUAAGUCCUGCAAUGCAGCGCAACCCACUGCGUAUAGUGUCCAGCAAGUAGUUGGGAACUUCUGUACAGCGGACUGCCGGGGGAUAACCCGGAGGAAGGUGGGGAUGACGUCAAAUCAUCAUGCGCCCUUAUGGUCCUGGGCUACACGUGCUACAAUGUCGUAACAGAGGGCGAAAGGGUGACCUGGGCGAUCUCAAAAGCUGCUGACCAGUUCGAGCUGCAGGCUGCAACCCACUGCACGAGCUGGAAUCCUAGUAAUCAUGAAUCAGCAUGUCGCGGUGGAUACGUUCGGGUCUUGUACCACCGCCCGUCCACCAUGGGGAGUCGGGAAUGCCCGAAGCCGGUGACCUAACUGCAAAAGAAGGAGCCGUCGAGGCAGGGCCGGAUGACUGGGGUGAGAGAUCGUGGCUAAGGUAGCCGUGGGAGAACCUGCAGCUGGAUCACCUCCUU